GUUUUUAUAGUGUAAAAUUAACACGUUACAUUUUCGUUGUAAAGCUGAAAAAUUCUUUUUUCUAAAAACU
Molecule: transfer RNA, 70 nt
Filed under: Thalamita crenata
Lineage: Eukaryota; Metazoa; Arthropoda; Malacostraca; Decapoda; Portunidae
Description: tRNA-Glu
Source: RNAcentral